Molecule: ribosomal RNA, 749 nt
Filed under: uncultured bacterium
Lineage: Bacteria
Description: bacterial SSU rRNA
Rfam family: Bacterial small subunit ribosomal RNA
Source: RNAcentral
CUGGAAUGCAACUGACACUGAGGCACGAAAGCUAGGGGAGCAAACAGGAUUAGAUACCCUGGUAGUCCUAGCUGUAAACGGUGUACACUUGGUGUGGGGAGGAUUGACCCUCUCCGUGCCGGAGCUAACGCGUUAAGUGUACCGCCUGGGGAGUACGACCGCAAGGUUAAAACUCAAAGAAAUUGACGGGGGCCCGCACAAGCGGAGGAGCAUGUGGCUCAAUUCGAUGCAACGCGAAGAACCUUACCAGGACUUGACAUGCAGCUGCACGUCCCGUGAAAGCGGGAUUCCUUCGAGGGUGCUGCACAGGUGCUGCAUGGCUGUCGUCAGUUCGUGCCGUGAGGUGUUGGGUUAAGUCCCGCAACGAACGCAACCCUUGUGUCUAGUUGCCACCCCCGAUGAUGAGUCGGGGAGCACUUUAGACAGACUGCCCGUAUAGGGAGGAAGGUGGGGAUGACGUCAAGUCAGUAUGGCCUUUAUGUCCUGGGCUGCACACGUGCUACAAUGGCCGGUACAGAGGGAAGCAAAACCGCGAGGUGGAGCAAAUCCCAUAAAACCGGCCUCAGUUCAGAUUGAAGGCUGCAACUCGCCUUCAUGAAGUCGGAUUCGCUAGUAAUGGCGCAUCAGCUACGGCGCCGUGAAUACGUUCCCGGGCCUUGUACACACCGCCCGUCACAUCAUGAAAGCCGUCUGCACCAUACGUCGCUAAGCUAACCCGCAAGGGGGGCAGGUGCCUAAGGUGUGGGUGG